AAUACCGCAUGAGACCACAGAGUGACAUCAUUCAGGGGUCAAAGGAGCAAUCCGGUGAGGGGUGGGCUCGCGUCCGAUUAGAUAGUUGGUGAGGUAACGGCCCACCAAGUCGACGAUCGGUAGCCGACCUGAGAGGGUGAUCGGCCACAUUGGGACUGAGACACGGCCCAAACUCCUACGGGAGGCAGCAGUGGGGAAUAUUGGGCAAUGGGGGGAACCCUGACCCAGCAACGCCGCGUGAGGGAAGAAGGUUUUCGGAUCGUAAACCUCUGUCCUUGGUGAAGAGGAAGAGACGGUAGCCAAGGAGGAAGCCCCGGCUAACUACGUGCCAGCAGCCGCGGUAAUACGUAGGGGGCAAGCGUUGUCCGGAAUGAUUGGGCGUAAAGGGCGCGUAGGCGGCCCGGUAAGUCUGAAGUGAAAGUCCUGGUUUUAAGUUGGGAAUUGCUUUGGAUACUGUCGGGCUUGAGUGCAGGAGAGGUAAGUGGAAUUCCCAGUGUAGCGGUGAAAUGCGUAGAGAUUGGGAGGAACACCAGUGGCGAAGGCGACUUACUGGACUGUAACUGACGCUGAGGCGCGAAAG
RNAcentral lists this ribosomal RNA (580 nucleotides) under uncultured rumen bacterium. Its description in RNAcentral is "bacterial SSU rRNA". It matches the Rfam family "Bacterial small subunit ribosomal RNA", at positions 165 to 759 of the family's 1533-position model. The record is from RNAcentral.